Non-coding RNA from Castor canadensis (American beaver), 1600 nucleotides. Lineage: Eukaryota; Metazoa; Chordata; Mammalia; Rodentia; Castoridae. The record is from RefSeq and is a predicted model, not a curated record.
ACAUAUGUUCUCAGGUAACUUUGAACUCUUUGUUGUUGCAAUAGUAGGUAUUGAACUCAGGAUUUCCUGUAUGUGAGGCACACUAUCACUUGAGUCAUAUGCCCAUCCAGUUCCUUUGCUUUUAGUUUGUUUCUCAGAUAGGGUCCUGCACUUUUGCACAGGUCUCUCUCUACUUCCUAAGAGCUGGGAUUUACAGGUGUGUGCUACCAUGCCUGCCUAGGCUUGAUGUUUUUAUGGGCUUACUUAGCCUCUUUCUUAUACUAUUUUUCCUCAUGAUUGAUCAGGUGAAUUGAUCAGGUGAUGGUAAAACAGCUAAAUCAAGAAAGGAGAUUGGAGCUGAGUGUUGAAGAGAUGAGGGCAAAAAGGAGAAGAACAGAUGUGAAACAAAGAGAAAGAACUAGUUCUGGAGGCUAUAAAUCCAAGAAGAUCAAGAGGGUCGCAACUUGGUUUCUCUUGAAGUCCCUCUCCAUGAUGUACAGAUGGCCACCUUCUCAACCGCAUCCUUAGGAAUCGUCAUUUAGCAGGGGUAAUCUCUGAGGGACUAUCAAAAACUUCUUGUCAUCUUUCCAAAUCAUCCCUCUCUGCAGUGACCAUGUCUUAAUCCUGAAGGAAAACAAGAGUCCUGGAUACGCCCUACUUGAACCUACACUGUUCUUAGACUUUUCAGCAAGUCAGUAAGUUCUUUACACCUUUCUCUUAUUUGUUUGUUUUCUUAAACCAUUCAGGUUGAAUUCCUGUCAUGUGAAAUAGAAUAGUCCUUACAAAUAAAACAGUGGGAGAAAAGUGCAAGAAAUCUAAUUGAAACUCUUAACGUUUAUAAGAAACAUAAUCGAACGUUGUUUGUUUUUCUUCUAUGUAGUUUUCUUGAGUUACUUUUGUGUGUGUGUGUGUAUGUGUGUGUGUAUGUCCUUUCCAGUAUUGUCUAGCAACAUGAGGUACCUUUGUGGGGUAAAGGAUGGAAAGCAAUGAAAUUGUUACAUGCUGACAAUAACCUAGGAAACUUGAGAUUUUUUUACAAGUAGGAGGCAAUGAUGACUUUUUGUCUUUUUUGUUCUGUCUCUUCCUCCCUUGCUCUCAGACUUUUGUUCUUUGCCCAUAAUGUGAAUAUUUGCUCCAUUGCAGUAACUCAUGAUAUCUCAUAAGCUUCAUUUUAGGUACUGGGACAAUCUACAAUUCACAAAAUUCCAGCCUGUAGUGAGGGACCCUUGAGAGUUUGCAAAGUUGCAAAAUUAGGCAUCCAAAAAUUCAUUCAUCCAUUUACCUUUUCUUAAUCAAUGAAUGCUAAAAUGCAAUCAAUAGCAUGUGAGGUAUUACAGAACUUUUGGAUCGUUCCAGGAGAAAGGUUGAAUGAUCAUGCAAUAGAAACAUGUUAUUAAGCUAUUAGUAUGUAAUGUGACACAGUAAAGUGCCCAAUGUGACGUACUUAACAUACAUUAAAAUAUAUUUAGACUGCAUAGCAAUCUUACGAAGCUGGCAUUAUUAUUUUUUUCUUGAGAUAGAAACAAAAUGCUUUAUUUUCUGUAGUUACUAUCCCUUAACAAAAUUCAUUUAAGUUAUUCUAUUCUCAAUGAAUCUAACAACUAGUGAAGAAGAUAGGCUU